ACGAGAAUCACUGGAAGGAGUUUUCGGACAACGGAAGGUGAGGACAGUGGCGGACGGGUGAGUAACGCGUGAGGAACCUGCCUUUCAGAGGGGGACAACAGUUGGAAACGACUGCUAAUACCGCAUGACACAUAGAGAUCGCAUGGUUUUUAUGUCAAAGAUUUAUCGCUGAAAGAUGGCCUCGCGUCUGAUUAGCUAGUUGGUGAGGUAACGGCCCACCAAGGCGACGAUCAGUAGCCGGACUGAGAGGUUGACCGGCCACAUUGGGACUGAGAUACGGCCCAGACUCCUACGGGAGGCAGCAGUGGGGAAUAUUGGGCAAUGGGCGCAAGCCUGACCCAGCAACGCCGCGUGAAGGAAGAAGGCUUUCGGGUUGUAAACUUCUUUUGUCGGGGACGAGUAGAAGACGGUACCUGGCGAAUAAGCCACGGCUAACUACGUGCCAGCAGCCGCGGUAAUACGUAGGUGGCAAGCGUUGUCCGGAUUUACUGGGUGUAAAGGGCGUGUAGCCGGGAAGGCAAGUCAGAUGUGAAAUCCACGGGCUUAACUCGUGAACUGCAUUUGAAACUACUUUUCUUGAGUAUCGGAGAGGCAAUCGGAAUUCCUAGUGUAGCGGUGAAAUGCGUAGAUAUUAGGAGGAACACCAGUGGCGAAGGCGGAUUGCUGGACGACAACUGACGGUGAGGCG
RNAcentral lists this ribosomal RNA (688 nucleotides) under uncultured bacterium. Its description in RNAcentral is "bacterial SSU rRNA". It matches the Rfam family "Bacterial small subunit ribosomal RNA", at positions 66 to 753 of the family's 1533-position model. The record is from RNAcentral.